UCUCAAUUAUAUUUUUUCUUACAUGCAAAUGAUGCUUCUGAAUGUUUGGUCUUAUUCCUCUAAUUAGUACUACAUACUAGUGUCUUGUCUUCUGAAAUGUACCAUGGGAUGGGAUCACGAAAUCACCAACGCACAAGGCCCUCACAUGAUACUGCAAAUUGGAGACGGUUCGUCAUAGGCGCACUGGAUACAGGAGCGCCCUCCUGUGUUCGGCGCGCCAUAGCACAGUGGUGCAGGGGAG
Molecule: long non-coding RNA, 241 nt
Filed under: Oryza brachyantha (malo sina)
Lineage: Eukaryota; Viridiplantae; Streptophyta; Magnoliopsida; Poales; Poaceae
Description: long non-coding RNA (OBRA_LNC002596)
Source: RNAcentral